Molecule: long non-coding RNA, 781 nt
Filed under: Gossypium barbadense (sea-island cotton)
Lineage: Eukaryota; Viridiplantae; Streptophyta; Magnoliopsida; Malvales; Malvaceae
Description: long non-coding RNA (GBAR_LNC009236)
Source: RNAcentral
AAAUUACAAAUAGGUAUUUGUAAAGAGUCUUGAUUGGAUGAAAAUUGGUCCAAAGAUGUUAGAGAAUUGUUGGAAAGAUCCAAAUAUUGCAAACUUUUCUUCCACACCCAAUUUGGUACGGCCCCGCUUAUUUGGUUGUUUGAAAGGUCAAGUUCUUCUAAGCUCUCUUGACUCUUUAGAAAUGCUGGAAACGUACUUAUAUUACAGGAUCUCAAACGCAACGAAAUCAGCAUUGGAAAGGAGGAAUUUGCAUCAUCAAAAGGAAACUGAUUCGGAAUGUCAAUCGCAUUGGAAGAAAGGUCUAAUAUUUCAAGUGUGCUCUUCCACAACCAAUUUGGUACUGCCCCGCUUAUUUGGUUAUUUGAAAGGUCAAGUUCUUCUAAGCUCUCUUGACUCUUUAGAAAUGCUGGAAACGUACUUAUAUUACAAGAUGCCAACAACAAAAAUCUCAGCAUUGGAAAGGAGGAAUUUGCAUCAUCAAAAGGAAACUGAUUCGGAAUGUCAAUCGCAUUGGAAGAAAGGUCUACCGAUAUAAGUGUGCUCUUCCACAACCAAUUUGGUACUGCCCCGCUUAUUUGGUUAUUUGAAAGGUAAAGAUAUUCUAAGCUCUCUUGACUCUUUAGAAAUGCUGGAAACGUACUUAUAUUACAAGAUUCCAAAAACAACGAUCUCAGCAUUGGAAAGGAGGAAUUUGCAUCAUCAAAAGGAAACUGAUUCGGAAUGUCAAUCGCAUUGGAAGAAAGGUCUAAUAUUUCAAGUGUGCUCUUCCACAACCAAUUUA